RNAcentral lists this transfer RNA (73 nucleotides) under Bos taurus (domestic cattle). It matches the Rfam family "tRNA". From Rfam's summary of the family: Transfer RNA (tRNA) molecules are approximately 80 nucleotides in length. RNAcentral also lists the same sequence under 2 other names. The record is from Rfam by way of RNAcentral. Lineage: Eukaryota; Metazoa; Chordata; Mammalia; Artiodactyla; Bovidae.
UCCCUGGUAGUCUAGUGGUUAAGACUCGGAGCUCCCAAUUCAGGGGGUCUGGUUUCAAUCCCUGGUCAGGGAA